AGCGGCUACAUUACAGUGGUAACAUGGAGAACAGGAUCGUCGGCCAACAAGAACGAGAACAGUAUCAGCAUCAUCAGCGAGUCGUUGUCGAAAGCUGCAGCGGUGAAUCGUCCACGAAACAAAAAAAAUUUCUGCCAUGAGACGCUGACGACGACCAAGAAGACGACGACGACGACGACGACGACAAAAUUAUCAGCAGCGGCCUCGACCGAGCGUUGUUCAGUGAACGGUGGAUCAGUAGGUAGACAUCGGUUGGAUAGCACUAGCAGCUCGUCCUUCGUCAUAGCAAGCCGAUGAAGCUCAGCCAAAUGCCGAGUCUCGUGUACCUGAGCCGGCGUACGAACGCCGCCAGUGGUAGCACUCAGGAAGCAGCAGCGCAAGUAGCAGCCGAUGUGGCUGUCUUACCUUCGGCAGCAGAUAGCCAGCAGCAGCAGCAGAUAGCCAGUGUAACUGGCGGUGUCUUACCAACGCUGAUGAAGAAGCAGCAGCAGCAGUUGCUCGCCGCCGCAGCCGCCGAGAAUCUGGAUCAUCAACAUCAACAUCAUCAUCAUCAUACUGCCAUCGUUGGCGCAGUCGUCAUCGCCGACAAGCUCGACCAGCAGCAGCAACAGCAACAGCAACUGACCGCGGGGCAGCAGCGACUGUUGGCCGUCGACUCCGAGAACUACAUGCUACGUAACGGUAGCUGCGAUCAGCAGCAGCCUCAACAGACUCAAUCUCAAAAUCACAGCAACGGCAUCAAGUCGAUCAUCAGGUCGACGGCGAAUCAUCUGAAAUCGUCGUCCACCUCGACGAGCAUCAGCAGCAGCAACAGCAGCGGCAGCAUCAGCAACGGCAGCAGCAGCGGCAGCGGCGCUGGCAGUGCAGGAGCCAGUAGUGUGAGCAGCAGUAACUGCAGCAGCGGAGCUGCGCCGUUGUUCGCCGGCAAGAGCUGCGCCAGAUUGGCCAGCUUUCAUCGCUUGCUGUGCUGGUGCGACGAGCAGCAGACUACUGGCGGCGGCUACGUUUUCAACAACAACAAUAACAACAACAACAACAAUAGCAACAACAACAAUAUCAAUAAUAACAUCGGCAGCAGCAGCAGCAACAGAACCAGUGGCGGUGGCAGUGCUAUCGCGUCCGCCGUUGGUAGUCCCAGCAGCAGCAGCAGCAGCAGUGGUGGUGGUGGUGGCAGUAGCUGUCAAAACAGCAGCAGCAGCAGCAACAACAACCACAACAACAGUGACGACUUAGUUAUCGGUAGUAAUAGUAAUGGUAGUAGUAGUAGUAAUAAUGCGCGUGCCGGUGCAGCAUCGGGUGUUGUCGAUCAUUUGGUAGUAGUCGCGAGUGCAACGACAACAACAACAACAGCGUCGGGCUCCUCCUCUCCCCUGAAUCAGAUUCAGUCCCUUGAACAACAACAACAGCAGCCACCGAUCAGCAAUGGCGUCGGUGGUUUCAAUAGUACUAAUACUAGUAAUAACGCAAUAAUAACUGUCGAGAGAAAAUGUUGCUGUAUGUGCGGUUCCGUUUGUCCCUCAGAGUGUCACGCGUGCUUUCACAACGUCUGCAAGGACAGGUCCCACGAGCGGCCCUGCAGAUGGAGCGCCAAGAGCGAGCAACGCCAGCCGCCGGUCUACAAUAAAGAUAAGCCCGUCAGCGAGUGGACUGCGCUAAAUGUAGUCGAGUGGAUGGCUGCGCUAAAUCUCUAUCGCUAUGCGGACGUAUUCAAGUCCAAGGAUAUCAAAGGUAGCGAUCUGCUUAACUUGGACCGGGAGAAGCUAUUGAACAUGGGCAUCAAGGAUGAAUUUCACCAGAAAAAUAUACUCGUGUGCAUCGAGGAAUUGUGCCAGUCGCCGAGCAGCGAUAGCAGCGGCAACGGCGGUGGCAACGGCGAUGCCCCGGCUACGUCGUCGUCCUCGACGAGCUCGGCCGAGAACACCACCACCACCAACACGACGACGACGACAGCAGCUACGGCCGCAGCAGCGUCGCAUCCGCACAAUCUCCAGCCGCACAGUUUUAGCGUGCUGCAGAAAUGCGACAAGUGCCAUAAAUAUCUGCGAGGAUUGUUGCACCAAGGUUUUCUCUGCCAAGAUUGCGGUCUUGUAGCUCACCGAACGUGCUCGGCUACUGGUCUACCUAUUCCCUGUGCGCACGGCCAGGAAACGUGCGUCCUCAAAUUCUCUUCCGUAUUCGGUCAAGCCCUGUGCGCGCAAUUCGACGCGUCGGCGCGCGCGGCGCCGAUCCUGAUCGAGCGCUGCACCCGGGCGCUCGAGGAGCACGCCGCGGCCGACCCCAAGCUCGAUCUCUACAAGGUCUACCACAGCAGUCCGCCCAGCGAGCAGACGAUGGAGCUGCGCCAGAAGCUGAACGAGGACGUGCGCAGCACCGAUCUCGAGACCUACACGCCCUACUGCGUGGCCAGCGUGCUGAAGAAGUUUCUCCGCGAGAUGCCCGACCCGGUGAUACCGGUGCAGUUCUACGACAGCUUCCUCGAGGCCGCGGCGGGCGGCAACGACGAGCAGUGCGCCAAGCGUCUGGCUCAGCUGAUCAACGACCAUCUGCCGGUGCACCAUCGCACCACCCUCUAUCAUCUGAUGGCGCACUUCGUGCGCAUCUGCAGACUGCAGCACGCCCGGGGCUUCAAGGAACCGCCCACGGUGCUGAUCCAAGUACUGUGCCACUUGUUUCUCCGGCCGCCAUGGGAGCAAAUUAUUCAAGUCGUUCACAAUACCGAAGCACACAUACGCAUCAUGGAGCUUCUUCUGCUGAAGUGCGACUGGUGCGAGCGUCUGCCAGAAUUUUCGAGUCCUCCGCAAUUGCCACCGCGAAAAGUGUCUAGGGCGCAGUUCACAGUCGCCGAGGCCCAGCAGUUCUUCGCCGCUCACGAAGAGCAGCAACUUCAGCAAAAUGCUCUUGCCUUCGGACAUACUUUGGAGCCUCAAACAAAAGAAAGACCACGCAAUCUUCACGAAGCCGAAUGGUAUUGGGGUGACAUAACGCGCGACGAGGUCAACGAAAAAAUGAUCGACACUCCGGACGGUACCUUCCUCGUGCGCAAUGCCAGCAGCAAAGGUGGCGAGUACACGCUCACGCUACGGAAAGGUGGCGCCAACAAGCUCAUCAAGAUCAGCCAUCGCGCCGGAAAGUACGGCUUUUCCGAGCCCUACUCGUUCCUGAGUGUCAUCGACCUCGUCGAGCACUAUCGCAACUGCUCGCUCGCCCAGUACAACGCGACCCUCGACAUCAAGCUGCUGUAUCCUAUCUCGAGGUUCCAGCAGGACGACGAGAUCACGGGCUCGAUGGAUCCCACCAAAGCCAUGCAAAAAUACGUCGAGUUGGAGCGCGAGAUAAUGCUCACGAUGAACAAGUAUCAGGAAAUCUACGAGCUGUUCAAUCGUGCGAGUCAGGAGGUGACGCUCAAACACAACGCACUGGAGGCUUUUACGGAGACCGUGAGGAUGUUUGAGGACCAGCUCAAUGCACACGGCAAGUUCCAGAAAGAGGCUCAGCCUCACGAGGUCGCGCUUUUGUUGGAAAAUGACGAUGCACUGAGGAGAAAACUUCAAGUAUGUCGAGAAAGUAAGGACACAGUUGACAAAAGUUUACAGACACAAAUAGCUCAUACGAGAAGUCUCGAACGAGAGAUGAGCAAGUACAAACAGGAGGUUUUACAACUCGGACGUAGUAAAGACAAGUAUACUGCUUGGUUACGGAAAAAUGGCGUAAAUCAAACAAAGAUAUCACAAUUAUCGGGCUUGAACCAGAACCGCGAUGCCAACAUCGAUUUACAAGAGAUCGAUCUAGAGGUUCAUAAAGACGAAAAAACAUGGCUGUAUCUCGAAGGUUCAAGAAACGAUGCCGAUCGAAUUCUCAACGAUAAGCCCGAAGGUACAUUCUUCAUCAGACGUUCUAGAAUGGGCCAGUAUGCCUUGUCUAUCAUGUGCAACAAAACCGUCAACCACUGUAUUAUUUACGCAACGGAACGAGGCUUUGGCUUUGCCGAGCCUUACAACAUUCACGAGUCGCUGCGCCAUUUGGUACUUCACUACGCUCAGAAUUCGUUGGAAGAGCACAACGAGCAGCUCACGACUACUUUGGCUUACCCGGCAUUCGCACCAGCCGCUGCACUUAGCAAGUUGCAAGCUCAACGGCAAGUACAAUUACAGCAGCAAGCGUUGCCGCAGACGCAAGCUGUUGCCGGCACCGGCACUGGUGCGACAGCUGCUACCGCUACUCAAGUCUAUCAGCAGCCACUCCAAUUACUCAGCACCCAGUAAAUAUUAUAUUUAAAAAAAAAACGCGAUCAAAAUCGCGAGGUGAUAAUACCUAUUAUCUGUAUAUAGAUAUAUUUAUCAAAAUCUCCCCGUAUGUUACGGCGUGAACUGACGAUUACAUAUACUAUAUAUUACAUAUAUAUUUAAAUGUCGAGAGAUGAAGUAUGAAGAAGUAAAAGAAAAAAGAGGUAGAGUGAUAUAGUCGCGUGCGUGUGUGCGUUCAUAUUAUGCCCACGUUUCGUCUAGCUUCUUCGGCGUCAGGUACGCGUCGAGCGACACGACUUUUAACAAUCUCCAAUUUGUGAAACAAAACAAAUGAAACUCACGCGUGUAUGUUACAAGAAAAUUAUUUAAUUUAUUUAUAUACCGUAAAACGGUAUGUUAUGUAUUGGACUAUACAUACAUACGCAUGUACGUGUGCAAGGCUGCAUAACCAGAAGGAGAGAAAAUUUCAGUCGUACUGAUAAUGAUAAUGAUAUUUGCAAUUCGCCGAGAUAAUGUCAUACAUGAAAGGGAAAUUUGAAAUCCAUUACUUACAUUACAACGAAGUUCUGUCAUAUUUGAUAAAAACAUUUAAAACAUUGAAAGGCGAAGUAGUAAGGCGAAGGUUUUUGCAAGAGUAAGAAGCGGUAGACGUCAGACGUUUUGGCAGAGUUUUUUUAUACGUAGAUUGUAAGUGCUUCCGUGCCAGGGUACGAUGAAGACUAUCGAACAAAAAAUAAAUUAUAAGAAUAUUCGCAGGAAAUUAAUGAUAUGCGAUUAUAAAACGAUAAAUGAUCAUAACGAAUAAUGAUAUAAACGAGAAAAAAGAGGAGAGCAAGAAAGGUAGGAAGCGGGAGUAGGAGUUUUUUUUAGGAAUAAUUAUCUGUGAUUAUCGAAGUGUGAAUAUAGUAAACGAUGAUGAUAAUGAAUUAUAUGGCGAAGAAUGGCUUUUCGAUAGUACGUUUUAAAAUGCAUUUAAGCAGAAGUAAAAAAAGAGACAAAGUGAGAAAAAAUUCGGAAUAAAAUGCGUAAAUUUAUUGAUUAGUUGUUCGACAAUUCUAUUAUAAUAAAUAAUAAUAAUGAUAAAUAUACAAAUGACAAAAGAAAAAAAAAUGAUGAUAAAAAUGAUAAAACUAUUGUGAUCGGGGGGCGAGCGACGACUUCACAUGCUAUAUGCGGACGCAAACGACGUUGAUAUACUAUUGAUAAUAAAAGCGAGUAGCGGGUCUGUCCUCGCAAAGAAAGGAGAGGCCCUCCCACGGCCGAUAAUAAUAUAUCUAAACAUAAUAGCGUGAAUAAAAUCGCGUCGAUAACUCAUGGUAACUACAUGAGACCCGAAGUAAAAUAUUAAAUGUCUAUUAAUAACGUAAAUACAUCAUAUUUAUCACUUACUUUCGUGGAAGAAAAAAUAGAGAGCAUCAACAAUUGGCAAAACUUACUUUCCUUGUUGCAAUGCCGAAAGAUCUUUUCUGCAUCAUCACUUUUCAAUUUCUUUGUUUUCGUUUUUCACUAAGCGAUACAUAAAAAUAUCUCAAGAUAGUUCGGCUUUUUCUGUUAUGUAUAUCUUGAAAUAAAGACAUGUUUAGACGGUGCUGCGCUCGGACUCGUUAUAAUUUGAUCUCUUUGUAUUAAAUUUAGUGCGAACACUUACACGUAUCACUUAUAGAUUUUUAAACUUAUAAAUAAAUCAAUUCGGUACUCUUUUUAAAUGCGGAUACAAACCCGCCAGCAUCGUAAACUGUUUUUUUCUUUAAAUAUAAUUCACACAGAUAUUAAAACAUUCGUGUACCAACGCUAACAAUACGUUAUGAAUAAUUGUAAAAAUUUUUAGAAUCCGUGUGUAUUUUUUCACUUGGUUGUACAUAAAUAUUGUAAUUGAAGAUUUGCACAGAAAUUGUGUCUUUAUCACGAUUAAUGCACGUUCAAACUUGGUGUUGUUUUUAUCAAUAAUUUUACUGCUUCUUUCUUGAAAUUAUAUAUUAUACUUUAAAAGUAACAAAUGCUUAAUUAAUAAUUACAGAAAAAUUUUCUUUACUAAUUAAGCAUUUGUCCCUGUAGUAAAAAUUAGAACUUAAAUUAAAAUUUCUCUUUGCAAAAGUUUUUAGUGCAACAAA
RNA transcript from Trichogramma pretiosum, 6355 nucleotides. It is a transcript of the gene named phosphatidylinositol 3-kinase regulatory subunit alpha-like, with no coding region annotated. The record is from RefSeq and is a predicted model, not a curated record. The transcript is spliced from 11 exons. Lineage: Eukaryota; Metazoa; Arthropoda; Insecta; Hymenoptera; Trichogrammatidae.